AACGAACGCUGGCGGCGUGGAUAAGACAUGCAAGUCGAACGGGAUUAUUUUUGUAGCAAUACAGAAAUAAUUCAGUGGCGAACGGGUGCGUAACACGUGGGCAAUCUGCCGAAAAGUGGGGGAUAGCUCGCCGAAAGGCGAAUUAAUACCGCAUGUGGUGAGGGACGACAUCUUCCUGAAUCCAAAGCCGGGGCAACCUGGCGCUUUUUGAGGAGCCCGCGGCCUAUCAGCUAGUUGGUGAGGUAACGGCCCACCAAGGCUAUGACGGGUAGCUGGUCUGAGAGGACGACCAGUCACACUGGAACUGAGACACGGUCCAGACACCUACGGGUGGCAGCAGUCGAGUAAUUUUUCUCAAGUGGGGGAAACCCUGAAGGAGCGACGCCGCGUGGAGGAUGAA
RNAcentral lists this ribosomal RNA (400 nucleotides) under uncultured bacterium. RNAcentral's name for it is "bacterial SSU rRNA". It matches the Rfam family "Bacterial small subunit ribosomal RNA", at positions 29 to 412 of the family's 1533-position model. The record is from RNAcentral.